RNAcentral lists this long non-coding RNA (237 nucleotides) under Carica papaya (papaya). Its description in RNAcentral is "long non-coding RNA (CPAP_LNC006961)". Lineage: Eukaryota; Viridiplantae; Streptophyta; Magnoliopsida; Brassicales; Caricaceae. The record is from RNAcentral.
AAGAGAGCCGGCGGAGCCACCACACCCGGAAAGCCCACCACCGGUAGGUUUCAAUUUUCUAAUUUUUUUCAGCUAACCGAGACUCUCUAACGUAUUUUUUUACAGGGAUACAUGUAAAAUCGGCAAAAAUUAGCCUAAACCGACAGAAAACGACCAGACCGAGGCAAACAGCUACCGUGGGUGGCGGGCCGUUGUCGAAGCACGGCGGCAGCGGUGCCGGAAUCUCAAAAUUGGCCG